This 372-nucleotide ribosomal RNA is filed under the name uncultured organism. RNAcentral's name for it is "bacterial SSU rRNA". It matches the Rfam family "Bacterial small subunit ribosomal RNA", at positions 526 to 896 of the family's 1533-position model. The record is from RNAcentral.
CAGAGGUCCCAAGCGUUGUUCGGAUUCACUGGGCGUAAAGGGUGCGUAGGUGGUCGGGUAAGUCUGAUGUGAAAUCUCUGGGCUCAACCCAGAAAUGGCAUUGGAUACUAUUCGGCUAGAGGAGUGGAGGGGGGACUGGAAUACUUGGUGUAGCAGUGAAAUGCGUAGAUAUCAAGUGGAACACCGGUGGCGAAGGCGGCUUUCUGGAUGAUAACUGACGCUGAGACGCGAAAGCGUGGGGAGCAAACAGGAUUAGAUACCCUGGUAGUCCACGCUGUAAACGAUGAACACUAGGUGUCGUGGGUAUUGACCCCCGCGGUGCCGCAGCUAACGCAUUAAGUGUUCCGCCUGGGAAGUACGGUCGCAAGACUA